RNAcentral lists this unclassified non-coding RNA (200 nucleotides) under soil metagenome. RNAcentral's name for it is "partial contains internal transcribed spacer 2 and large subunit ribosomal RNA". The record is from RNAcentral.
GUUCGAGCGUCAUUACAACCCUCAAGCUCUGCUUGGUCUUGGGCGUCACCGGUCCCCGGUGUGCCCUAAAAUCAGUGGCGGCGCAUCUGGCUCUAAGCGUAGUACAUACUCUCGCUACAGACGUCCGGUGGAUGCUGGCCAGCAACCCCCAAUUUAUCAAGGUUGACCUCGGAUCAGGUAGGGAUACCCGCUGAACUUAA